Molecule: non-coding RNA, 31 nt
Filed under: Mus musculus (house mouse)
Lineage: Eukaryota; Metazoa; Chordata; Mammalia; Rodentia; Muridae
Source: RNAcentral
UGUGCUUGGCCUUAUCUAGGUGCUGGAAAUU